Molecule: small RNA, 244 nt
Filed under: Paenibacillus stellifer
Lineage: Bacteria; Bacillati; Bacillota; Bacilli; Caryophanales; Paenibacillaceae
Description: BsrG
Rfam family: BsrG
About the family: bsrE, bsrG and bsrH pair through intermolecular interactions with antisense sRNAs. SR4 interaction with the 3'UTR of bsrG RNA promotes bsrG degradation and inhibits its translation.
Source: Rfam by way of RNAcentral
GCAAUAGAAAGGCUGAUAUGGGCGGUCGGCUAAUCUCCCGGAAGGGAGGUGAUGCCUGUGGAGGUGUAUCAAGCGUUGUCCCUGAUGUUCAUGUUCGGCAUGUUCAUUCUGGCGCUGCUAAGUUACCUCAAAAAGAAAUAGACCGCCCCGACUAAGGAUAACGGUCUAUUUCUUGAGGCCUGCCUUAUAAGCCGCCGCCCUUAAAAGCGGCUAUUGCGCGGGGAGUCGUGUUGGAGCACGGCUC